CGCGUAGGCGGUCUGUCCAGUUAGGCGUGAAAGGCCUGGGCUUAACCCAGGAAUGGCGCUUAAUACUGACGGGCUUGAGAUUGGAAGAGGAGAGUGGAAUUCCCAGUGUAGAGGUGAAAUUCGUAGAUAUUGGGAAGAACACCAGUGGCGAAGGCGGCUCUCUGGUCCACAUCUGACGCUGAGGCGCGAAAGCGUGGGGAGCAAACAGGAUUAGAUACCCUGGUAGUCCACGCCGUAAACGAUGAGUGCUAGACGUUGGGGGGCUUGGCUCCUCGGUGUCGCAGCUAACGCGUUAAGCACUCCGCCUGGGGAGUACGGUCGCAAGAUUAAA
RNAcentral lists this ribosomal RNA (331 nucleotides) under uncultured bacterium. RNAcentral describes it as "bacterial SSU rRNA". It matches the Rfam family "Bacterial small subunit ribosomal RNA", at positions 568 to 898 of the family's 1533-position model. The record is from RNAcentral.